Molecule: ribosomal RNA, 218 nt
Filed under: Campeiostachys nutans
Lineage: Eukaryota; Viridiplantae; Streptophyta; Magnoliopsida; Poales; Poaceae
Description: Elymus nutans partial small subunit ribosomal RNA
Source: RNAcentral
GGCCUGGCUGGACGGUCCGCCCUUCGGGUGAGUACUGUCUGUAGUCGGGUCCUACCUUCUGGCGAAGCGUCAUGGCCUUAACCGGCCGUGGCGGGGAACCAGGACUUUUACUUUGAAUAAAUCAGAAAGCUUCAGUUGGGCCUUCGCUUGAAUGCUUCAGCAUGGAAUAAUAGAAUAGGACGUGCGUCUCUAUUUUGUUGGUUUCUAGGGACGCCGUA